Myodes glareolus (Bank vole) is the source of this 10084-nucleotide non-coding RNA. NCBI's taxonomy places the organism in Eukaryota, Metazoa, Chordata, Mammalia, Rodentia, Cricetidae. The record is from RefSeq and is a predicted model, not a curated record.
UGUGUGUGUGUGUGUGUGUGUGUGUCCUGGAUUAGUAUGUAAAUUUCUUAACUACUGAUCCAACAUUUACCUACAUCACACCACUCUCCUGGCCAUGAUUAUAAUGAACCAAACCUCUGAAAUUGUAAGCAAGCCCCCAAUAAAAUGCUUUUAUUUAUAAGACUAGCUUUGGUCAUGGGGUUUCUACACAGCAAUAAAACAGUGACUUAGACAGCUUCUCUAAGAGUGAUGCCCAGCUGUCUUUAUUGUUCACUUUUGGAAAGAAGACAUCUACUGAAUCUGGUCAGUUUUAAGCACUUACUGGAGCAAUUUUGAGUUGUUUGCCUUCUGUCUUAAAGAGCUGCCCUGUAAAAUGGAAAGUUUCAGUUUCAGUCUUGGAAGAAAUUGCUAUACAGCACAUGAUAACAAAAACAGGAAAUACCAUAUGUUGCCUUAUCACUAACAAAGUCAUCCCAACCUAGAAAUGGAACACUCAUUUCAAAUUUUACUUGCUUGUAAAGUCUCAGAAGACAAAAAUAAAGCAAGGAAAUUCAUUAACAAUCAAAACAUAAAGUAAAAAUUUAGUUACCAUAACAAUCACCACCAUUGCCCUUUGACCCUAAGGGUGCAUUAGUGGCAAUCAGAUUUUGGUGGUAUGCAACAGCUCUCUAAGUGAACUUAAGACUCUUUCAACAGAAAGGAAAUGAUAUCUGAUACCAGAACCAUAGUAAACUUCCUGGGUCAUAGAUCUUAGAGAAGAGCCUACUACCAUCAUUUUUAAACCAGCAUAAUUCUUAACUGCAUUCUAAGUAUCUAUCUCUAUAACCACAGAUAAUUACAGCUCUUACCCAUAAUGAAGAAACUUGUCUUUGUAACAGAAGGAGACUUUUAAGUUGGGAGCAUAGACCCCCUCGCAUCUAUCCUAGCCCCCAGGCCUGAGAGUUGUAUUGGUCUGGACUCCAAAUCCCAGCAGGCUAGGUCAUGUCUCCUCCCUGAGGGGGGGGGAGUCAGGACCACUCCCACAUGGUAUUUAAAUGAACUCCCAAAAGAGGAACACAUGAUCUCUUCCUUCCUCUUGGUAGUGGUCAUGUUUGAGGCCUCCUGGUUCCCCCUCAGGGCCACCCAAAAGCACAGGACUCUCAUUAAACCUGGAUAAUUCUUAAUUUGGCUUGUUAUGGUUUGGCUUGAUUGGGAUUUUGCAUUGGCAGAGAGCUUGCGUUAGGAAAAAAAUUUCUAACAGAGACCAUUAUAGAAAAGCAAAGUCACAGAUGGUCAAAAUUCAGAGAACAAGUGAUCUCUCACUGCCAAGCACCAAUUAAUACAUCGUCAAAACAACCUCUUUACCUAAGGCUCAGGGAAACUUAGAAGAGGGGGCAGAAAGAUUGCAAGAGUCAGAGGACCAAGAGAUAUGCCGUGAGGUUAAGGCUUCUAUAAAUGACAGGGAAGCUUCACCCAUGAUACUUCAAUAGUAUGGUUGCCUAAAUGAGACCCGAGAAAGUACACCACCAAUGGGCAUGUUAACAUGGAAGGGGGAAAUUUCACAGAGCUCUACUACAAGCAAUUAAGGAAUGUUCAAAGAAGGACAAAUAGUCUCUAUCAGGACAGAGUUUCUCAAUUAAUUAUCCAAUACCAAAAGGUCAGCCCAGAAAACAUACACACAAAUACACAAAUAACAUCAUACAUACUGAGCAGGUUGUUCUUAUCCCAAUACAAUAGGUUGCUCUCCAAAAGAUGACAGCAAGACCUCAUUGCUGAAAACAACAACAACAUGAUUCAUUGAACAUGGAGAAGUCAAACUGGUUCCUACAUAUAACCUUCACCCCUACAUUUUAGUCUUUGGUAUGGAAAGAUACUCUUCAGAAUAUCAAAAGAGAAAUAUAAUAUCCAACCUAGCCACAAGCACUUUGAACUAUAAUACUGUCCUGACGACAAAACAUGGUAGGGCAAUGAUGGUACAAAGUUUGUGGGAGUAACCAACCAAUAUCUGAUUUGAAUUAAGGCCCACUGCACGAGAUGGAACCUUUGCCCAACACUCUUGGGUGAGCAAGAACCACAGAUUAGAUAUUCCAGAAUCUAAUCAAAUACUACUGGAAUGCAAAAAAAAUGCUAGAAUUUCUCCUGAUGACAUUCUGCUAUAUUCAUCAAUCUAAGUAGAUCAGUGCCUUACUCAGUCAUCAUAGUGUCCUUUUUUUGCAGCAGAUAGGAACAAACACAGAGACAUGCAGCCAAGACAUUACAGACAGAAAGACAUACAAAGAGAAAGAGACCUUAGAAUGUAUAGCUUUAAAUGACAUAUCUCCAUCAAAUCCUUCCCCCUCAGAGCUCAGGGAACCCCCAUUGAAGAAAGGAAUAGUGUAAGAGCCAGAGGUAAUAGAAGACACCAGGCUUUCUUCAUCAAAUCCUUCCCCCUCAAAGCUCAGGGAACCCCCAUGGAAAAAGGGAAGAAUGUAAAAGCCAGAGAAAAUAGAAGACACCAGUAUAUCUCUACUCAAUGGUUCUCAACCUUCCUAUUGCUGUGACCCUUUAAUACAAUUCCUCAAGUUGGGGUAACUUCCCCAACCAAAAAAUUAUUUUUCUGGCUACUUAAUAGCUGUAACUUUUCUACUGUUAUGAAUUAUAAUAUAAGUCUUCAACAAUCCCUGUAACAGGGUCAUUUGACUCCCAAAGUGUUCAUGAACCACUGGUUAAGAAUUGCUGCUCUACAUUAACUGAGCAAAGUUCAUGUCAACUCAGAUAAAAUAAUCUAUUUUUAACAAAAGGAAGAAAAGAAUUAAAAGAAAAUAAUGUACACCUUUAUUAUAUUAUACAUUGUUAUGUACACUGUAUGUAUAUAUUAUACAGUAAUUUUGUUGGUAUUGCAUCCUAAAAAUUACUGAACUCAAUGAAUUUCAACAGUUUUCAGUGGACUUAAAAUUUCAUACGAGCAGGAACAUAUUUGCAAAGAGAGACAGCUUCAAAUGUUCCUUUCAAUCUAGCGUUCUUUUUUUCUCCCUGAUAAGUUGACCUGGAUAGAACUUCAAAGUUGAUAUUCAAUAGCAAUGGUGGAAAAAACCUUCAUCAUGGGUUGAUGUAAUGAUAAGCAUCUUCAUUCAUUCUCCACCAAGCACAGUGCUAUUUGGAGGGUGUUCACUGAUAUUUACAGGGAUGUAUGGACAUUUUACUCCAUUUCUAGUUUUAAAAAUACUUUUAGUCAAGAGAUACUCUAUGAUUUUGCCAAAUACUUCUGCUACCAUAGAAGUGAUCACAUUUUCACUCCAUUUACCAUUUCAGUAGGUAUUCACAUGUUAGUUCAAUCUUACAUUCUUAGUUCCACUUAGCCAUGGUAUACAAUAUUUUUCAUGGUAUUAAUAUCUUAUGCAUGUUUGUUCUGGAAACAUUAAGUCAUUUUUGGCUAACUGUGUGAUUUUUCCAUUAUAACCAACAUUUGGAAGGAAAAUAAACUAGUCUUGUGUAUGUUAGCUGUUUUAAACCCACACAGUAUUGGCUUCAUGUUACUGGAUCAUGGUACUUCAAGGAAUCAAAACAGUGUCACAAAAAUAGUAAUUACAGUUUGAGCACAGCACACACUAUUUUUCACAGCAGCAUGGCUCCUGAGUGAAGAAUUUUUAUUAUAAGUCAAAGCCCCAUAUUCUUCUAAAAAGGUAUUUUUUAUAUUUUUUAUGAAAUAUACUAUAAAAUUUUUAAAAUUGGGGGCUCCUUUUACACUAAUUUAAAUUACUCAUGAAGUAACUGCAUAAGUUUUUAAGUUGGAAGAGUCUAACUCCACCAUAGUUUGACAAAUAAUUUUUUAUUUAUUUAUAGUAUGAUUCAAAAGUUUUUAAUACAUUCAGAGAAGUUGCAGCUAUUGCCAUUUUAAAACAUUGUCCUCAUCCCCCAAAGAAAAUCAUACUCAAAGUCAGAGAAAUGGUUUGAUGGUGACCAUUAAAAUUUCUGACCGUGAAAGUCUGAUGAUGGCAGUUCAUAUCCCUGGAAGUUAUCUAUAAACAGUCCAUCGUUCCCCCUGUCUGUAACCCCAGCCCUUCUGUGACAAAAUGGGAGGCAGAAACAGAAGAAUCCCCAGGAACUUACAGGCCUGCUAUCUCAAAGUAUGCAGAAUACCAGCUGAUCCGGAGCAUCUAACAGGAAGGGACACCCUGUCUCAAAGUAAAAGAAAAGGACAGAUGCAUCUUCAUAUACAAACACACACACACACACAGGUUGCAAACCUGCGCCUCACAAAAAUAAUACGACCUUUAAAAAAGUCAUAAUCAUUACCCAUGAGCAGUCAUUGCCUAAUCCCCAUCCCUCUUCCUUUCUCUAGCCUUGACAAUCACCAACUCACUUUCAGUUUACCCUUUUUUAAAUCUAGAACUCUCCCUGUUACACCUCAAUAGUUGAUUAGAGUUACCUGUGCUGUAGCAAACCAUUGCCUCCCUGGACCCAUCUUUUAAAUCCAUGUGCUCCUUUCAUAUUGAAUCACAAACUUUAGUGACCCUGUGAACUGGUUUCCUUGGGUGUUUGCUCAUUUGUUUGUUUCAAAUCAAAUCAAACAACUUGGUGCCAGGUGAAAGAGUCAGAGAAAACCAGCUGGAGCACUGUGAAUAACUGUGGAGCAGCGGGCUCAUGGUCUAGAAAGAAUGAGAACUGUGUCUCAGGUGUCUGUCACAUCAACAAGAUUAUUCACCUUCAGAGCAGACUGUGAAGAAUAAGGAGUUAAUGCUAUCACACCUACUCUUUGAAAAGCUAACAGUGGUCUGGGGUAUCCAAUUUACUUUCACCUUCACUCUGUAUCUAAGGUAAGAUUCACUUACAAGCACUAGUCACAGUGUUAAAAUUUGGAAUGAAAAGCACUUAUAGACUGAAGUUUUUAUGGGUGCAUACAUGACAUAAAGGAUUGCUUUUUUUAAAAAGUCAAAAAGAAUUUAGAUUCUUAGAUUAUUCUUCAAAUCAUGAAUAUACCAAAAUGCUGCUGGUUGAAAAUCAUAGACUAUUUUUUAGUGAAAUAAACUGUCUCUGCAAGGUUAUCCAUCUUUUUACUGCUGUUUGCAGCAAGAGAGUCUUGGCAUAUCAGAGAAAUCAUAAAAUAAACUCACAAAUAUAAAAUUUAAUGAGAAAUCAAAUAACAUAAACCAAUCUCAUAAAAAGAAAUAAAAUGAAAUUAAAAGAAAGAAAAAACACGACUUUAGUACUCUUGGUUGUUUGCCAGUUCACAUACUGCUAUAAAAAAUCACCAUUAUUAAUGCAUGUAGGAGAGAAAUAUUUAGAGGAUGGAUUGUCAGGGCAUGUUUUGUUGGGUUGAGUACGCAGUUUAUGAGGGAAUGUGGCAGCACUAGCAUCAUCGUAAUAUAGAACGGAUGUGAUUUUCAGUUAUUUUACAUAGUAAAGAUCAUUACUACAGACAAAAUGCAAUGUGGAGACAAUAUAAAUUCUGGGUGGAAGAACAAGUCACAGAAGCAGAACAAUAUAUCAAAUUUUAGACUAGUUAUCAGUGCUGGGGUCUUUUUCAAUGAUUGCCCUGGGGGCUUUCCCCAGGGUGGCUCUGCCUUCCAACCAUAUCUUUUCCCAUGCAAACUCAAGUGCUCAUACUAACAAUACCAACAGCCAAAAGUUAGAAAGUCAAUGCUAAAUGUUUUAAAGAAGUAAUUCAAAGAAAUGAAAUCACUACAAGAUCUAACUGGACAUGAGUGCUUCAAUUAAAAAUAAUAUUUUAAAAUAGUUAUCCAAUAGUGUUGGCUGAGCAUUAUCAAGUUGACUGUGUUAUGUACUGAAUCGCAUCACAAGUUACUCUAAACAUCAAAAUAUGUAUGCACUUUCUGCACAGUCAUACAGAAAUAAGAAUGAUUGUUAUGGCUGGGAUCUGAAUUUCCUCUCAAAGCAAAAGUAGUGAUAUCUUGGUCAAUCAAGCAGAGGAAGGAAGUGACUAGCUCAUUAGACCUCUGACUUCAUCAUAAAUUGACUCACUAAGAGAUCCAUUGAUCAACUAGCUCAUAGGAUAAUGGAAACUUUAUCAGGAGAGAACAGGAAGCAGGUGCCUAGGAGUCUACCUUGAACUGUAUAUUCUUCCUCUUCCCCUCCAUUGCUCCCCCUCAUUAGCUCUACUCGUGUUCCCCACAAUGAUGCUCUGUUUUAACACAGGCCGCAAAGUGAUGGGACCAAUUGUUCACAGAAUAAAAUCUUGGAAACUGUGAACCAAGAUAAAUGUUUCUUUCCUUUAGUAGAUGCUCUCACACAUCUUGUCACAGGGUUGGAGUGCAGGCUUUCAUGGCUAUGAUGUCAAAAGGACCCUCCCUGGUAAUCAAAAAUAUAAUAAUAAUUGAAGUUUUAAAAUCUUUAAAAACAGUUCUAAAAAAAAGCAAAAAACAUUUAUAAUGCUGAGAUAUUUUCUAUUAACUCUUAUUAGUGUGUUAUGUAUACAUUUACAUACAUGUAAAAAUCAAAUAAUAAUAAACAUCUUAUCUUCAAGAACCAAGUCUUCCUAUUGCCGAGGUUCUUAUCUCUACAGAAAACUAUUUCUAGCCCUUUAAAAAAAUAAUUAUAUGUGUGUGCCUAUCUGAGUGUACGUGCAGAUAUGUAUUUGGGUGCCUGUGGAGGCCAGUAGAGGUGCUCUUGGAGUUAGGGCUAAAAGCAUCUGUGCUGGGCCUGACAGGCAUUGUAGUUCAAACUCCAGUCUUUCUGAUAGAGUAGCAAAGAUUCUUAGCCACUUGAGCCAGCACUCUAGCCCGAUUCCAGGACUGUUACCUAUUUUUUCGAGCAUUUAUUUCCUUGUACCUAGACAGUGAAAAGGUAUUUAUUAAUUUAUCAAUAUGUUAAAUUUCAGUUUAAUUUUAUUUUACACUAGGACUUAUAGGUCAUUUAUAACUAUCAUUUUCUUCACAGUAGAUUUAUGCUGGCUUUUCCAUUGCACCUGUAACAAAUUAUCACUAAUUUGAUUGCUUAACAACCGAAACUAUCAUUUCACAGUUGAUUGUGUAGGACAAAAGUUUGGUAAUCGGUUAGUGUCUUCACAAGGGCCAUGACAAGCCUUAGUCAGCUUACACUUUCAUCUGUAGGCUGUUCGGGAGAAUCUAGUUCCGGCUCCUUCAAGAUCAUACGAAUUUUGGUGGUCCAGGUGCCUGGAAUCUGAAAUGUUCAUUUCUUGUGCAUAUGAACUGGUGGUUAGUCUUUACUCCUAGACACUUCUCCCUUUCUAUGCAUGAGAAUGAUUGUGAUUUUUCAUAGACGCUGUCAGCCUAGUUCUUGGUGACUCACAGCUUUCCCACCUGCAAAAUAUAUCCCCACCUCCCAUUUGUUCUACUGAAUACAAUUCCUUGUACCAUUUGCUCAAGGCCCAUGAUUUCAUCAUUUCCAUAAGGUUCGACUGAAGCAGAAUCUUGGAUAUAAUCGACUAUGUCUUAUUCUUGGAGUACAAUUACACAUGACAGUGAAAUGGAAAGAAAAAAUAUGUCUUUCCAACAUAGAAUAGUAGGUCAUACAUUCUGGAGAUGUUAUAACUAUUUAGGCUCAAAAUUGGAAAGAAAAAGAUGUAAAGAUGAGACAUCAUUCUAGUGCCGGUCUAGUAACUUGUAUUCCAACUCCAGCCAUACCUCCUGACCUCUUUGCUCAACUUCCAAAGACAAUGUACAGAGCAUCUUUGUUGGCUCUCACUUCUACUUGUGUUCAAAAACACUCUGACUCCAUAUAUUCCCUAUGGCUCAGUAUAUAAAUGACAAUGAACUUCUGAAAUUAAGACUCAUUAAGUAAAGGUCACCACUGUAUCCAAUCUUCAAUCACCCCAUAAAAUGAUGAUUAAUAAUAGAAUCAGGUGCUGAAAUCACUAAUUAACUACAGAUUCCUAGUUAAGUUCAGUCUGUCAAGGAUGGACCAGGCAAUGAUAUGAGAUGUUCGACUAGGUCCUAACGAGAAAUGUUUGCUUUGGUUACCAGCACACACAUUAAAAUACUCCUGACUAUAAAAUGUCAUUCCUUCAAAGGGAAAAGAGACAACCUACAAACACAAGGCACUCAGGCAAACAGUAAAAUGUUCAAGUUUAUUAUGAGUUCAAGGUUUUACUGGUUCUCCAGCAACACACAGGCUUUAGUGAAAGAUGCAUAGUGAAUUUGAUCAUUUAAUUAAAGCAUGUCAAUCAGUUUCUGCAUUUGACCUAUAUGAGAGGGAAAAAAUUCCUUCAAACUUGUCAGUCAGGCCUUAUCAUUUUGAACCUAUCACUAAUUAAAUGGUAGCAGUUUUAAGUAUCAUCGUAUGGGAUUUUAGAUCUAACUCACAAAGCAACGCUACUCCUCAGGUUAUGUAGGUAAAUGAUUCCGUGAUGAUUUCAUUUCUCAAAGCCUGACCUGCCUGGGUAGAAUGCUUUGAGCCAAAGUUAGCUCCCAUGUGUCUCACUUUUUUUCUAGACAAGAAAUUAUUUUUCCAUCCUUUCCAGGUGUACACUAACCUAAUUUCACAAAUAUUUUUAUUUACCACCUUUUUACUCACUUGCCAGAUAACUAUUUAACAAUUAAAUUAUGGGUUGCCUUAAGUAAUAGAGAGUAUAAUUUAAACAAGAUAACUUAGGAAAUAUUCCCCCUUUUUGUUUUGUAAUUCUUUCAUUUGUUUAUAUACAAUUUUUAUAUUGCAUGUCUUAUUUUAUAUUUUAUAUUGCAGGAUCUUGCUAUGAUCCCAGGCUGAUCUGAAGAUGUGCUCCACCCUCUUGUGCUAACCUCUAAGUAAUAGCAUUACAAAAGGACAGAAACUCCAAGACGCUAGCAGUAACCCAAGAUCUCCAAAGAAGAUUAUGGGACACCAUGAUGUCGCCACCUGGAUUAUGAUAACGCUGACCACUGGUCAGGAUGACCCAGUGCAACACCUCCUGCCAGAACCUGGUCUUCUCUGGACAAACAGCAGGACAUUGGAAAAUUGAUCGCACCACUUUUGCCUAGACAAAAUAAGUAGGCUUUCACUUUACUGGCAGAUACAUCUAAGCAUCAGUUGAUAACUAUAACCUGCUCUGAAUGACUGUGAGCCCUGGACUUCCUGAAAGCUGAUGUGAACCAGACCAGCUGAUGUGAAUGCUCCCUGUCUCUUCAACAGAAUCUGUGAACCAGAUGCUUCUAGAUGCUUCUGAUGAGUCCCCAUUGCCUGAAUUCCUUCCUUACGUUUGGCUAGCCUUGCAGCCUACUUGGGCCCUGAUGGCAAUGCCCCAAUGUCAGCUUGAAGUAGUUGCAGAAACACAUCAUCCCAUGCUCCCUUUUCAGAACAGGUUGAAAUGCUGAGACAAGGGGAAACUCUCUGGCAUGGGGGACAAAAUGGCUACCUAUAGUGCCCAUUGAUAUACCAGAAAAAAUAGACCGACAGUUGUUAAUUAAUGGAUUUAUUAACUAAAAUGGUUUUACAAUAAAAAGACACUUUGGUUCUUUAUGUAGAAUCACAUAACCAAAGAGCACAUUCAGGAUUAUAAUUACAACUUGGUUGUACUCAAAAGAUCAGAGCUAUAGGGCCUGGUAGGCUGGCCACUGCCCUAGAAAAAUCUGUUAACUAAAAUUCUUAGGUCCCAAUACUAUCUCCUUAAACCCAAGGGCAAGCAGGAUCCGUGAGUGAGUCCUGUCAUUUGUAUUUGUGAAUUAGGAAAUGUAGGACUCAGCUGUGAAAAACUCAAUAGAGGCCUGAGUCUCAGUAGUUUUAAAUGGCAAUACCUGGUUGAAAGAAAAACCACAAACUGAUACUACUCAGGCACCACCCAAAAACAGUCCAUCACUAAUGUUCCAACCAGUGUAGAUAGGAUCACAUGCCAGCACACACCCUGCUAAUAUAACUUUUCUGGGUUUUACCUUUAAAUAAUGCUCUCUAGAAAGGUAGGGUACCUCCUCUCCCUGCUGCACUGAUGAGAUCCCUACCAGUUUAUAACAUGCACCCAGUAAACCUCACUUUUGCAUUUCAGUGAGUUGGUCUCCCUGGUGGCUUUUUGGGAUCACCACAGACUGAACAUAACCUUGCAAAAUUUAGAAAACAAUUUUAGUGAGGUAAUCUUAAGUUAAAGCUUAGGGGGCUGUAGCUAUGACACAGAAAAUGUGUUAUCUUAAAUAUGUAACAAUUAUGUAAAGUGUUUUCUGACCUGAUAAGCCUCUCUGCCAAUGCAAUAAUCCAAACCAGA